GCCUGUCUGGCUCAGUCAGUAGAGCAUGUGACUCUAGAUCUUGGGGUUGUAAGUUCAAGCCCCAUGUUAGGUG
Molecule: transfer RNA, 73 nt
Filed under: Ailuropoda melanoleuca (giant panda)
Lineage: Eukaryota; Metazoa; Chordata; Mammalia; Carnivora; Ursidae
Rfam family: tRNA
About the family: Transfer RNA (tRNA) molecules are approximately 80 nucleotides in length. Their secondary structure includes four short double-helical elements and three loops (D, anti-codon, and T loops).
Source: Rfam by way of RNAcentral